This 1415-nucleotide unclassified non-coding RNA is filed under the name Hevea brasiliensis (rubber tree). Lineage: Eukaryota; Viridiplantae; Streptophyta; Magnoliopsida; Malpighiales; Euphorbiaceae. The record is from RNAcentral.
AUCAUUUGAAUCCAUAUCAUAAAGUGUGAUCAAAUAUAAAUGAUAUUUAUAAUAAAAUUUUGAAAAUUAAAUGAGAACAAUAUAGUAAAAUACUUAGUCAAACAAAAGCACCAAAAUGAAAAGUUGGGUCCCUAUGUUUAAUUUUUUUUAGCUUCUAAGCUCAAAAAUAGUUAUAAGAGUUUGUAAGCUAGUUUGCUAAGACAAACACCCUCUUAGUAUUCUCUAGUGGAUACUCCACCUAACUAGUUAAGCAAAUAGACAACACCAUGUGUAUCCUGACAUUAUCGAAGGCAAUUGCAUAGGUUAUGCUUUUGGGGUGUAUUGAUGCUUUGACCAAGUGAAGUUCCUUUUAUAAGAAUUGUAUGAUCUGCUUGUUGUCUGAGUAUAAAGAGUUGCUGCCUGUAUUGGUCACCUGAGAAACCCAAAAUAUGUAGCAGGUGAGUGCCCCUUAACCCAACUAGAACUAGGAACAGGUGGUGGCAAAGCAAUUAGAUGACUCUGUACAAUUGAAAAUCUACAGAAGCAGCAUGCGGUGGGUGAUUAAUUUGCAUACCUACUGGCAUAGGAAAACUAAUAUCAGUCAAUAAAAUAACUUAGAAAAUUGAGUAUUACUAGCUACAAAUGCUGUAUGUAGAAACAGAACUGAAUUGGUAAUUUGGUUAUACAUAGAAGGUAACUAUUUAAGUUGUCGAAAGGAUGGCCGGGAAUGCAUGGCCCUUAUUGUUGUUCUAGCUCAUUAGGUUUCAACUUUCAACCCUCAGAAUUUAGCUAGAAAUUAGGACAGCAAUUAAAUGCCAUAUAAUAUGUAAUGUGAAGACAAAAAAAAGGUUUGGACCCGAAAGUGGAGCCUUACAUCCUUCCUUCCUCUUAAUGUUUCACCUUUCUGUUAAUGGUGACAGAUCUAUUUUCCAUCUCAAACCAUUCCCCCCUUUAUAACUUUUGAUGACUUGAUGUUGGAAUAUUGUUUCUUGGCCAAAAGCAUAUUUUGCCUCCCUAAACUUUCACAGAAAAGUCAAUUUGCCUCCUUAAUCUUGUAUUGAACUAAUUUGUCCCCUGAAUUUAAAAAAUUGCACCAAUUUAACAUAUUUUUGUGGAGUCAGCUAUUCAGUGUAUUUCACACACAAAUGCAUGCGUUAAUGUAAGGAAGGGUGCAGAUAUGGAAAAUUUGAAAUUUGACCCAAUUUAAUAUUCAAGUAAAUGCUAGGCAAAUGUUAUCCUGUACUUAUGCAGAUGCUAGGCAUCCAUCAUUCAAUGUUUAAGAGCUGAUACUAUGAUAGCCUACAAAACUUGUCAUCCAUUGUUUUAUGUGUAUGAUUGUUUAAUGACAACAUAAUCUUCAUUAGUUUUGUAACAUCUAUAGGUUUCAAUCAAAUUUCAAUGAUUGGUAUUGCCAUUCCGUAGCAACUUGAAUCUGG